This 468-nucleotide ribosomal RNA is filed under the name uncultured bacterium. Its description in RNAcentral is "partial 16S ribosomal RNA". It matches the Rfam family "Bacterial small subunit ribosomal RNA", at positions 28 to 507 of the family's 1533-position model. The record is from RNAcentral.
GACGAACGCUGGCGGCGUGCUUAACACAUGCAAGUCGAACGGAAAGGCCCUGCUUUUGUGGGGUGCUCGAGUGGCGAACGGGUGAGUAACACGUGAGUAACCUGCCCUUGACUUUGGGAUAACUUCAGGAAACUGGGGCUAAUACCGGAUAGGAGCUCCUGCUGCAUGGUGGGGGUUGGAAAGUUUCGGCGGUUGGGGAUGGACUCGCGGCUUAUCAGCUUGUUGGUGGGGUAGUGACUGACCAGGGGUUUGACGGCUAGCCGGCCUGGGAGGGGGACCGGCCACAUUGGGACUGAGAUACGGACCAGACGCCUACGGGAGGCAGUAGUGGGGAGCAUUGCGCAAUGGGCGGGAGCCAGAGGCAGCAACGCCGCGUGCGGGAUGACGGCCUUCGGGUUGUAAACCGCUUUCGCCUGUGACGAAGCGUGAGUGACGGUAAUGGGUAAAGAAGCACCGGCUAACUACGUG